CCGUGACUCACUGGAGAUAUGCUUCAACAGAGCUGCAAAAAUGACAAUAAUAAUGGCUUCCAUUUUCAUGGCACCUCUCAAGAGAAGGCAGAGAGAGGUUACGGCUGGGUCAGGCAGGACGCAGCUGACAACUCAGCAAGAAGAAGACAUCUACCGAGACAAUUCCUAGAAACAACACGCCUCACCGCUGCCUCACACUCUCGAUGGAACGACAAGCAAACAUCACGUUUCCUGUUUUUAUCACAGAGACAAAGAGUGGUUGCUGAUUGCUUAAAUUCUUUUUCCUAUAUUGCCAUAUAAGUAUGUAGUAACACCUUGUGCUUUUUUUUUUUACGAGGCAAAGCCCACAUGCUUUCCCCCUUCCCUCAGGGGCUUGUGUCUCACACUGUGGGUGAGACAAAUCCAAAUAAAAAGAGCAGGAGUGCAUACAGA
Syngnathus acus (greater pipefish) is the source of this 432-nucleotide long non-coding RNA. RefSeq lists it as uncharacterized. The transcript has 2 exons. NCBI's taxonomy places the organism in Eukaryota, Metazoa, Chordata, Actinopteri, Syngnathiformes, Syngnathidae. The record is from RefSeq and is a predicted model, not a curated record.